This 430-nucleotide ribosomal RNA is filed under the name Pseudomonadota bacterium. RNAcentral's name for it is "Proteobacteria bacterium partial 16S ribosomal RNA". It matches the Rfam family "Bacterial small subunit ribosomal RNA", at positions 355 to 776 of the family's 1533-position model. The record is from RNAcentral. Lineage: Bacteria; Pseudomonadati; Pseudomonadota.
UGGGGAAUAUUGGACAAUGGGGGGAACCCUGAUCCAGCCAUGCCGCGUGUGUGAAGAAGGCCUUAUGGUUGUAAAGCACUUUAAGCGAGGAGGAGGGUACUGGUAUUAAUACUACCAGGUACUGGACGUUACUCGCAGAAUAAGCACCGGCUAACUCUGUGCCAGCAGCCGCGGUAAUACAGAGGGUGCGAGCGUUAAUCGGAUUUACUGGGCGUAAAGCGUGCGUAGGCGGCUAAUUGAGUCGGAUGUGAAAUCCCCGAGCUUAACUUGGGAAUUGCAUUCGAUACUGGUUAGCUAGGGGGUGGGAGAGGAUGGUAGAAUUCCAGGUGUAGCGGUGAAAUGCGUAGAGAUCUGGAGGAAUACCGAUGGCGAAGGCAGCCAUCUGGCCUAACACUGACGCUGAGGUACGAAAGCAUGGGGAGCAAACAGG